GUGAAAUGGAGCCAGCUACGUC
RNAcentral lists this non-coding RNA (22 nucleotides) under Rattus norvegicus (Norway rat). Lineage: Eukaryota; Metazoa; Chordata; Mammalia; Rodentia; Muridae. The record is from RNAcentral.